RNAcentral lists this ribosomal RNA (253 nucleotides) under uncultured bacterium. RNAcentral describes it as "partial 16S ribosomal RNA". It matches the Rfam family "Bacterial small subunit ribosomal RNA", at positions 524 to 776 of the family's 1533-position model. The record is from RNAcentral.
UACGGAAGGGGCUAGCGUUGUUCGGAAUUACUGGGCGUAAAGCGCGCGCAGGCGGCUUGGCAAGUGAGGCGUGAAAGGCCUGGGCUCAACCUGGGAACUGCGCUUCAGACUGCUUGGCUUGAGUACGGGAGAGGGUGGUGGAAUUGCCAGUGUAGAGGUGAAAUUCGUAGAUAUUGGCAGGAACACCGGUGGCGAAGGCGGCCACCUGGCCCGUUACUGACGCUCAAAAGCGAAAGCGUGGGGAGCAAACAGG